AACGCUGGCGGCGUGCCUAACACAUGCAAGUCGAACGGAGCGAAUAUGGAAGGCAACUGAAAUAGGAGCUUAGUGGCGGACGGGUGAGUAACGCGUGGAUAACCUACCCAUUAAACGGGGACAACCCUUGGAAACGAGGGCUAAUACCGGAUGAGCUUACCGAGUGGCAUCGCGAAGUAAGGAAAGGUGGUACAGGAAUGUGCCGACGAUGAUGGAUGGGUCCGCGUCUGAUUAGCUAGUUGGAAAGGUAAAAGCUUACCAAGGCGACGAUCAGUAGCCGGCCUGAGAGGGUGAACGGCCACACUGGGACUGAGAUACGGCCCAGACUCCUACGGGAGGCAGCAGUGGGGAAUCUUCCGCAAUGGGCGCAAGCCUGACGGAGCAACGCCGCGUGUAUGAAGAAGGUUUUCGGAUUGUAAAAUACUGUCUUUGGGGAAGAAGGAUCUUAGAGGAAAUGCUAGGAUAAUGACGGUACCCAAGGAGGAAGCCCCGGCAAACUACGUGCCAGCAGCCGCGGUAAUACGUAGGGGGCAAGCGUUGUCCGGAAUCAUUGGGCGUAAAGGGCGAGUAGGCGGAUGAAUAAGUCCGGCGUGAAAGGUUUGGGCUCAACCCAAAGAGGGCGUCGGAAACUGUACAUCUUGAGGACAGGAGAGGAAAGUGGAAUUCCACGUGUAGCGGUGAAAUGCGUAGAUAUGUGGAGGAACACCAGUGGCGAAGGCGACUUUCUGGACUGUCCCUGACGCUGAGGAGCGAAAGCGUGGGUAGCAAACAGGACUAGAUACCCUGGUAGUCCACGCUGUAAACGAUGAGUGCUAGGUGUAGAGGGUAUCGACCCCUUCUGUGCCGCAGUAAACACAAUAAGCACUCCGCCUGGGGAGUACGGCCGCAAGGUUGAAACUCAAAGGAAUUGACGGGGGCCCGCACAAGCGGUGGAGCAUGUGGUUUAAUUCGACGCAACGCGAAGAACCUUACCAGGGCUUGACAUCCUCUGAAUCUGGCAGAAAUGUCGGAGUGCCUUUCGGGAACAGAGAGACAGGUGGUGCAUGGNNGUCGUCAGCUCGUGUCGUGAGAUGUUUGGGUUAAGUCCCCGCAACNAGCGCAACCCCCUGNAA
RNAcentral lists this ribosomal RNA (1112 nucleotides) under uncultured Oscillospiraceae bacterium. RNAcentral describes it as "bacterial SSU rRNA". It matches the Rfam family "Bacterial small subunit ribosomal RNA", at positions 32 to 1111 of the family's 1533-position model. The record is from RNAcentral. Lineage: Bacteria; Bacillati; Bacillota; Clostridia; Eubacteriales; Oscillospiraceae.